GACCAGGAGACUGGUGAGUCCUUGUGGAUUUCUUCCCUGCUCAAGUGCAUAAAGCAGGUGUAUUGCAUAGCUUUUCCAGGCUGAGAUCAAAGACGGAGAUGUGCCUACCCGCAGAUCCUAGAUGGCCAUGUUUGCAACAGAGGUAAUGAUGAGCAGUGCGAAGAUGUGACUCCAAAGCCUGGAGAAGGACAGACCAGCAUCCCUGCAAGAGAUCCAACUGUCUUCUUUUCCGCAGAGGUCCAUAAUUUACAUGGGCCUGACAAAGAAUACUGUAACUUGCAGAAAUUAUCUUCAGUUCAAAUCCUUCAUUUUGGGGGUUAAAUAACUUGCCCAAGAUGUCGAGGGAGCGGAAAUACUUGCUGGUCUUGCAGCGGCUGUGGAGCCUGGAAUCCUGCCAAGAAGAGCAUGUGUGAGAGAUCAAAAUGUUUGCUUACAUUCCUCCUGUGAAGGGAGUUGGGAAAUAACCUAAGAAGCCCAAUCCAAAAACAAAGAUGUACCAUCCAGUCUUCUCUGUGAGAACCAAACUACAAACCAUCUGAAUGUUCCAAAAGUGUUUUGAUGAUGUAUUGAUGUAUUUUAAAUUAUCCUGAAAAUGUUCUUGGCAGAUGCUUAAACAUGUAAUUACUGAGAUGAUGUAGAAAUACCAAGUGUUUAUUAAAACAAUACAGAGUAAUACA
Long non-coding RNA from Homo sapiens (human), 677 nucleotides. The record is from Ensembl. NCBI's taxonomy places the organism in Eukaryota, Metazoa, Chordata, Mammalia, Primates, Hominidae.